GACGAACGCUGGCGGCGUGCUUAACACAUGCAAGUCGAACGGUAAGGCCCUUCGGGGUACACGAGUGGCGAACGGGUAAGUAACACGUGGGUGAUCUGCCCUGCACUUCGGGAUGAGCCUGGGAAACUGGGUCUAAUACCGGAUAGGACUCCGGACUGCAUGGUCUGGGGUGGAAAGCUUUUGCGGUGUGGGAUGGGCCCGCGGCCUAUCAGCUUGUUGGUGGGGUGAUGGCCUACCAAGGCGACGACGGGUAGCCGGCCUGAGAGGGUGACCGGCCACACUGGGACUGGGAUACGGCCCAGACUCCUACGGGAGGCAGCAGUGGGGAAUAUUGCACAAUGGGCGCAAGCCUGAUGCAGCGACGCCGCGUGAGGGAUGACGGCCUUCGGGUUGUAAACCUCUUUCAGCACCGACGAAGCGCGAGUGACGGUAGGUGCAGAAGAAGGACCGGCCAACUACGUGCCAGCAGCCGCAGUAA
This 478-nucleotide ribosomal RNA is filed under the name uncultured bacterium. RNAcentral's name for it is "partial 16S ribosomal RNA". It matches the Rfam family "Bacterial small subunit ribosomal RNA", at positions 28 to 523 of the family's 1533-position model. The record is from RNAcentral.